RNAcentral lists this ribosomal RNA (253 nucleotides) under uncultured bacterium. RNAcentral's name for it is "partial 16S ribosomal RNA". It matches the Rfam family "Bacterial small subunit ribosomal RNA", at positions 524 to 776 of the family's 1533-position model. The record is from RNAcentral.
UACGUAGGGUGCAAACGUUAUUCGGAAUCACUGGGCUUACAGGGUGCGUAGGCGGCCUGACAAGUAGGGUGUGAAAGCCCCCGGCUCAACCGGGGAAUGGCGCCCUAAACUGUCGGGCUGGAGUGAGAUAGGGGUGUGCGGAACUUCCGGUGGAGCGGUGAAAUGUGUUGAUAUCGGAAGGAACGCCGGUGGCGAAAGCGGCACACUGGAUCUCAACUGACGCUGAGGCACGAAAGCCAGGGGAGCGAACGGG